This 75-nucleotide transfer RNA is filed under the name Candidatus Peribacteria bacterium RIFOXYA1_FULL_56_14. RNAcentral describes it as "tRNA-Gly". It matches the Rfam family "tRNA". Rfam says of the family: Transfer RNA (tRNA) molecules are approximately 80 nucleotides in length. Their secondary structure includes four short double-helical elements and three loops (D, anti-codon, and T loops). RNAcentral also lists the same sequence under 6 other names. The record is from RNAcentral. Lineage: Bacteria; Candidatus Peregrinibacteriota; Candidatus Peribacteria.
GCGGGCGUUGUAUAGCAGUUGGUAUGCCAGCCUUCCAAGAUGGGGAUGGCGGUUCCAUUCUGCUCGCACGCUCCA